RNAcentral lists this ribosomal RNA (253 nucleotides) under uncultured bacterium. RNAcentral describes it as "partial 16S ribosomal RNA". It matches the Rfam family "Bacterial small subunit ribosomal RNA", at positions 524 to 776 of the family's 1533-position model. The record is from RNAcentral.
UACGUAGGUGACAAGCGUUGUCCGGAUUUACUGGGCGUAAAGGGCGCGUAGGCGGCCUGAUAAGUAGGGGGUGAAAUCCUGCGGCUUAACCGCAGGGCUGCCUUCUAAACUGUCAGGCUUGAGCACAGUAGAGGCAGGUGGAAUUCCCGGUGUAGCGGUGGAAUGCGUAGAGAUCGGGAAGAACAUCAGUGGCGAAGGCGGCCUGCUGGGCUGUUGCUGACGCUGAGGCGCGACAGCGUGGGGAGCAAACAGG